This 472-nucleotide ribosomal RNA is filed under the name uncultured bacterium. RNAcentral's name for it is "partial 16S ribosomal RNA". It matches the Rfam family "Bacterial small subunit ribosomal RNA", at positions 28 to 507 of the family's 1533-position model. The record is from RNAcentral.
GACGAACGCUGGCGGCGUGCUUAACACAUGCAAGUCGAACGCUGAAGCUUGGUGCUUGCACUGGGUGGAUGAGUGGCGAACGGGUGAGUAAUACGUGAGUAACCUGCCCUUGACUCUGGGAUAAGCCUGGGAAACUGGGUCUAAUACUGGAUAUGACAUGCCACUGCAUGGUGGUGUGUGGAAAGGGUUUUACUGGUUUUGGAUGGGCUCACGGCCUAUCAGCUUGUUGGUGGGGUAAUGGCCUACCAAGGCGACGACGGGUAGCCGGCCUGAGAGGGUGACCGGCCACACUGGGACUGAGACACAGCCCAGACUCCUACGGGAGGCAGCAGUGGGGAAUAUUGCACAAUGGGCGGAAGCCUGAUGCAGCGACGCCGCGUGAGGGAUGACGGCCUUCGGGUUGUAAACCUCUUUCAGCACGGAAGAAGCGAGAGUGACGGUACGUGCAGAAGAAGCGCCGGCUAACUACGUG